RNAcentral lists this ribosomal RNA (253 nucleotides) under uncultured bacterium. Its description in RNAcentral is "partial 16S ribosomal RNA". It matches the Rfam family "Bacterial small subunit ribosomal RNA", at positions 524 to 776 of the family's 1533-position model. The record is from RNAcentral.
UACGUAGGGGGCAAGCGUUGUCCGGAAUCAUUGGGCGUAAAGAGCGUGUAGGCGGCCCGGUAAGUCUGUUGUGAAAGUCCAGGGCUCAACCCUGGAAAGCCGAUGGAUACUGCCGGGCUAGAGUUCGGAAGAGGCGAGUGGAAUUCCUGGUGUAGCGGUGGAAUGCGCAGAUAUCAGGAGGAACACCAAUGGCGAAGGCAGCUCUCUGGUACGUGACUGACGCUGAGACGCGAAAGCGUGGGGAGCGAACAGG